This 274-nucleotide ribosomal RNA is filed under the name uncultured bacterium. RNAcentral describes it as "partial 16S ribosomal RNA". It matches the Rfam family "Bacterial small subunit ribosomal RNA", at positions 523 to 796 of the family's 1533-position model. The record is from RNAcentral.
AUACGGAGGGUGCAAGCGUUAUUCGGAAUCACUGGGCGUAAAGGACGCGUAGGCGGGUUGGCAAGCCAGAUGUGAAAUCCUACAGCUUAACUGUAGAACUGCAUUUGAAACUGCUAACCUAGAGUAUGGGAGGGGGAGAUGGAAUUAGUGGUGUAGGGGUAAAGUCCGUAGAUAUCACUAGGAAUACCGAAAGCGAAGGCGAUCUCCUGGAACAUAACUGACGCUAAGGCGUGUAAGCGUGGGGAGCAAACAGGAUUAGAAACCCCAGUAGUCC